This 498-nucleotide ribosomal RNA is filed under the name uncultured bacterium. RNAcentral's name for it is "partial 16S ribosomal RNA". It matches the Rfam family "Bacterial small subunit ribosomal RNA", at positions 30 to 523 of the family's 1533-position model. The record is from RNAcentral.
AUUGAACGCUGGCGGCAUGCCUUACACAUGCAAGUCGAACGGUAACAGGUCUUCGGAUGCUGACGAGUGGCGAACGGGUGAGUAAUACAUCGGAACGUGCCUAGUAGUGGGGGAUAACUACUCGAAAGAGUAGCUAAUACCGCAUGAGAUCUACGGAUGAAAGCAGGGGAUCGCAAGACCUUGUGCUACUAGAGCGGCCGAUGGCAGAUUAGGUAGUUGGUGGGAUAAAAGCUUACCAAGCCGACGAUCUGUAGCUGGUCUGAGAGGACGAUCAGCCACACUGGGACUGAGACACGGCCCAGACUCCGACGGGAGGCAGCAGUGGGGAAUUUUGGACAAUGGGCGAAAGCCUGAUCCAGCAAUGCCGCGUGCAGGAUGAAGGCCUUCGGGUUGUAAACUGCUUUUGUACGGAACGAAAAGCUUCGGGUUAAUACCCUGGAGUCAUGACGGUACCGUAAGAAUAAGCACCGGCUAACUACGUGCCAGCCGCCGCAGUAA